CCUACGGGAGGCAGCAGUGGGGAAUUGUUCGCAAUGGGCGCAAGCCUGACGACGCAACGCCGCGUGGAGGAUGAAGACCUUCGGGUCGUAAACUCCUUUCGAUCGAGACGAAUGUUUUCCGGGUGAACAAUCCGGAAAAGUGACGGUACCGAGAGAAGAAGCCCCGGCUAACUCUGUGCCAGCAGCCGCGGUAAUACAGGGGGGGCAAGCGUUGUUCGGAAUUACUGGGCGUAAAGGGCUUGUAGGUGGCCAACUAAGUCAGACGUGAAAUCCCUCAGCUUAACUGGGGAACUGCGUCUGAUACUGGAUGGCUUGAGUUUGGGAGAGGGAUGCGGAAUUCCAGGUGUAGCGGUGAAAUGCGUAGAUAUCUGGAGGAACACCGGUGGCGAAGGCGGCAUCCUGGACCAACACUGACACUGAGGAGCGAAAGCCAGGGGAGCAAACGGGGAUUAGAUACCCCCGGUAGUCCUGGCCCUAAACGAUGAAUGCUUGGUGUGGCGGGUAUCGAUCCCUGCCGUGCCGAAGCUAACGCAUUAAGCAUUCCGCCUGGGGAUACGGUCGCAAGGCUGAAACUCAAAGAUAGNGGCGNGAGAGNGCGACGACGACGACGACGGAGGAGG
RNAcentral lists this ribosomal RNA (620 nucleotides) under uncultured bacterium. RNAcentral's name for it is "bacterial SSU rRNA". It matches the Rfam family "Bacterial small subunit ribosomal RNA", at positions 338 to 947 of the family's 1533-position model. The record is from RNAcentral.